CCCUUAGAUGUUCUGGGCCGCACGCGCGCUACACUGACGGAGCCAACGAGUACUUUCCUUGUCCGGAAGGACUGGGUAAUCUUGUGAAACUUCGUCGUGCUGGGGAUAGAUCAUUGCAAUUUUUGAUCUUAAACGAGGAAUUCCUAGUAAGCGCGAGUCAUCAGCUCGCGCUGAUUACGUCCCUGCCCUUUGUACACACCGCCCGUCGCUACUACCGAUUGAAUGGUUUAGUGAGGCCUUCUGACUGGCGCCGCUACUCUGGCAACAGAGCGGCGGAUGCCGGGAAGUUGGUCAAACUUGAUCAUUUAGAGGAAGUAAAAGUCGUAACA
Molecule: ribosomal RNA, 329 nt
Filed under: uncultured eukaryote
Lineage: Eukaryota
Description: partial 18S ribosomal RNA
Rfam family: Eukaryotic small subunit ribosomal RNA
Source: RNAcentral